Molecule: transfer RNA, 74 nt
Organism: Ovis aries (sheep)
Lineage: Eukaryota; Metazoa; Chordata; Mammalia; Artiodactyla; Bovidae
Rfam family: tRNA
About the family: Transfer RNA (tRNA) molecules are approximately 80 nucleotides in length. Their secondary structure includes four short double-helical elements and three loops (D, anti-codon, and T loops).
Source: Rfam
UCCCUGGUGGUCUGAUGGUUAGGACUCGGCGCUUUCACUGCCAAAGGGCCCAGGUUCAACCCCUGGUUGGGGAA